RNAcentral lists this ribosomal RNA (422 nucleotides) under uncultured bacterium. RNAcentral describes it as "bacterial SSU rRNA". It matches the Rfam family "Bacterial small subunit ribosomal RNA", at positions 359 to 773 of the family's 1533-position model. The record is from RNAcentral.
GAAUAUUGGACAAUGGGGGCAACCCUGAUCCAGCCAUGCCGCGUGUGUGAAGAAGGCCUUUUGGUUGUAAAGCACUUUAAGCAGUGAAGAAGACUCCAUGGUUAAUACCCAUGGACGCUGACAUUAGCUGCAGACACAGCACCGGCUAACUCUGUGCCCGCAGCCGCGGUAAUACAGAGGGUGCCAGCGUUAAGCGGGAUUACUGGGUGUAAAGCGAGCGUAGGUGGCUUGAUAAGUCAGAUGUGAAAUCCCCGGGCUUAACCUGGGAACUGCAUCUGAUACUGUUAGGCUAGAAUAGGUGAGAGGAAGGUAGAAUUCCAGGUGUAGCGGUGAAAUGCGUAGAGAUCUGGAGGAAUACCGAUGGCGAAGGCAGCCUUCUGGCAUCAUAUUGACACUGAGGUUCGAAAGCGUGGGUAGCAAAC